UAUAGUUGAUUUACAAUGUUGUGCCAAUUUCUGUUGUAUAGCAAAAUGACUCACUCAUACAUAUAUAUAUAUACAUACUUUUUAUAUUAUUUUCCACUAUGUUCUGUCUCAGGAGAUUGGAUGUAGUUCUCUAUGAUACACAGUAGGACCUUAUUGUUUAUCCAUUCUAAAUGUAAUAAUUUGCAUCUACCAACUCCAAGUUUCUAGCACUGCCCACUCCCUCCCUUCUGCCCCUGGCAACCACAAGUUUUUCUCUAUGUUUGUGAGUCUGUUUCUGUUUUAUAGAUAGGUUCAUUUGUGCUAUAUUUUAGAUUUUGCAUAUAAAUGAUAUCAUGGUAUUUGUCUUUCUCUUUCUGUCUUACUUUACUUAGUAGGAGAAUCUCUAGUUUUCACCCAUGAUGCUGCAAAUGGCAUCACUUCAUUCUUUUUUUUGGCUGAGUAGUAUUCCAUUAUGUGUAUGUACCACAUUGUCUUAGUCCACUCAUCUGUCGAGGGGCACUUAAGUUGUUGCCAUGUCUUGGCUAUUGUGAAUAGUGCUACUGUGAACAUAGGGGUACAUGUAUUCUUUUUUUUUUUUGUCUUUUUGUCUUUUUCUACGGCCACACCCAUAGCAUAUGGAGGUUCCCAGGCUAGGGGUCUAAUUGGAGCUGUAGCCACUGGCCUACACCACAGCCACAGCAACGCCAGAUCUGAGCCAUGCCUGCGACCUACACCACAGCUCAUGGCAAUGCUGGAUCCCUAACCCACUGAGCAAGACCAGGGAUCGAACCUGCAACCUCAUGGUUCCUAGUCAGAUACGUUAACCACUGAGCCACAACAGGAACUCCACAUGUAUCUUUUUGAAUUAUAGUUUUGUCUGGAUAUAUACCCAGGGAUGAGAUUGCUGGCUUAUGUGGUAGUUCUAUUUUUAGUUUUCUGAGGAAUCUCCAUGCUGUUUUCUAUAGUAGUUGCACCAACUUACAUUCCCACCAACAUUGUAGGAGGGUUUCCUUUCCUCCAUACCCUCUCCAGCAUUUGUUAUCGGUAGAUGGACAUUCUGACUGGUUUUAGGCGGUACCUCAUUGCAGUUCUGAUUUGCAUUUCUCUAAUAAUUAACUAUGUUGAGCAUCUUUUCAUGUGCCUACAAGGCUCAGUAAAUCUUUAUUGAUAUCUACCUAUUUUAUUUGUCUGAUGGAGAAGCCAUGCUACACUAAAUUACACCAGAACAGGAAAGAGAAGAUCUCUUUGGAACUACUACAAUGAGGAAAUAACAUUGGAAACUAUUAAGCUUUUUUAAUUACUAGUUAAAAUUUAUUAAAGCAAGAACUUUGUCUCAUCCCAUAGGAUCUAAGAUAGUCCGUGGUACAAAGUAAGUCUUAGUGGCUGGUUUGUGUUACACAGUUCUGAAAGGUCUGUAAUUUGUGCAUAAUGGAGAUCUAUGAUUUCAUGGACUAAAAGAUUCUACUGUAUCUAAUCUUGUAGAGGUAAUAUUUUUCUUUGGAACAUUCUCUGGUUGAUGGUCUUCAACAACUUUCUACUCCUAUUCCAAUAAAAAUAAAUCAUAAGUGAAUAACAAUAUUAAAUUAUUCUUUAGUUUCCAUUACCAGGGAGCACUCUAAGCAAUAUAUGGAAACAUAAAAGGAAAAGGCAGUUUCUAAGUUAAUGACAAUUUAAACUAUGUAGCACUUUUAAGACAAAAAUUUUAAAAAUGCAGAUAUACAUUUAUAUAUAUUAAUGUUAUUUAUAUGUGUUUUAAUAUAUACUUUCUAAAGUAUUUGCAUUUUAAUCUGGUUCCUUCCUCUCUUCCUUUUUUAAAAUCUCUCAUUCUCCUCACAUGUGUAAACAGCAGAAAUAGGCAUGUGAGAAGUAUCACAAACCUGUAGACAUUUUCACUCACCUCUGUGAGUGAAUAAAUAGGGAAAGCACUUGUGUUUGCUGUACAUGUAUUACCUAUGAACUUGAACCAUAUAAAAUUGUACUUUUUCUAGAUUAAAAUGGUCAGAUAUUGACUAGUUCAUAGAGUUCAGGUAAUAUAUUACAAAUUUCGUUCCACUGGUGUUCUGUGAUAAUAAAAUAUUUCCUCCUCUUUUUUAUGUUUAAUGAAACUAUACUCAGUGUAUACAGAACUGCUCAUAAUUCUAAAGCUGAUUGGUAUUCUAUUUUCUGGUUUGGUUAACUCAAUCAGUUAAGACACUAUACUACUGAGCCAUUUAAUUUAUCAAUAAAAUAUCUGCAAAUGUGGGUUUUUAAUUACAAAGAAGAGCUAGUAAAGGGGUAUGGAUUUUUCCUUGUCCAUCCAAGGUUUAUUUCUCUUAUAGUAACUUCUUCCUCCAUUAUUUUCCCUAAUAUCCCGAAGUAUAAACUUUCAUCUCUCUCCAUUUAAUGCAAAUUUCAGCCCUCCUACCAACUCUUUACUGCUUAUUAGAGAAGUCAUGGCUCAGGAAAAAAAUUAAUAGUCCAUAGUUUGCACAUUUUUAAGAGUUUUUUUUUUCAAAACUAAAUUUAAAAAUGUGGUUGGAGGUGUUUUCAUAAGGAUAAAUGAAUUUCUUAAGACAUUUUCAUUGUAGCAUUUAUUAUUUUUUAUUUCUCAAAAUAUUUUCUUUAAAUUAUGCAUGAUGAUUAUGUUUAUGCAAAUAUUCCUAAAUAUGAUGCAAGUUAGUCCCCUAUAAUCCAUAUGCAUAAUAUAUCAUAAUUUUCUUUUGCUCCACUUGUCACAUUUAUAAUCAAAUACUUACUUGUAAUAUUAUUUUGAAUUAUAUAUUGAGAGAAAAUAUGUAUUCAUUAAUGAAGAUUUAUUAAUUAUGAAUUAAUUACUGCAGUAAAUACAGAAACUUUUACAGUGCCAGACACAUAAUAGGUGCUUAUACUUUCUGACUAAAUAUCUGGAUGAUUGAAAUAGUAUAGUAUAAAUCAAAAUACAAAGGCACAUAAUUGUGAAAUUGGAUCAUGAAAAUGCUAACUUUCUUGAGCAGGUAAAACUCAAAAAAAAAGGAAACACAAAUGGUUAAUAAUUCUACAAGAAAAGGUUAAACCUAACUAAUGAUUAAAGAAUUAUAAAUUAAAGCAACAAAAUGCCAUUUUUACUUAUCAGAUUGGCAAACUUUAAAAUGGUUGAUAAUAUCUAGUGCUGGUAAGAAUGUGGUGAAAUGUUUAUGCUUGUAUGCCUUUGGAGGCAACAUAAAUUAGUGCGGCUCUUAAGAGAAAUUUGCCUUAUCUUUUAAUAUUUAUAGUUACUGUCUAAUGACUCAGCAAUCAUGCUUAUAGGCAUUUAUCCUAUAAAUCUAUUCAGGCAAGUGAGAGGUGAUACAUGCCCCAGUUUGUAUAUUGUAGUAUUUCAAAAAAUGAAGGGAAAAAGCUAGAAACAGUAAACAUUUUACCAUUUUUUUUGAAUAAAACUCACAACUAUUGAAGCUAAUUUCUUUUAUGCUUAUUGAAGAGAGAGGAUUUGGGAAUGAGAGGAUGAUUUUUCUUCUAAAAUAUCCUUUAUAUACAUAUAUUCUGUCAAAUGGGCUGCAGCCUUUUAUUACUGUAGAUAAUUGUAUUAUUUGUUAUUGAUCUUUCUUCAGAUGACAACAUUUAUUAUUUUUACAGAAAUUGUGUAAAUGAGGAAAACUGUAAAAAGAUUUUUCCUCUCAGUUUAUUUUGCGGCAAGUGUCAGUCUUUACUGUGAAUGUAAAUUUCAGGGUUAAAAUUAAUAAUCCUAGAAGGAGAAGUGCAAAUCAUACAACCUCCUCUCUUACCCAGGUAAAAGUUUAAGGAAAACACAAAUGAAUCACGCAUUUCUGUAUAAUCUGUGCUUUUGUCAAAAGGUUGCCAUGACUCAUUUAUGACUUUCCAUAGUUUUAAAACCAGUGUUUUUAACCAUAGAAAAUCUACUUCAUGGUCCUAUUAUGACAACUGUUGAGUCAAUAAUAGACUCUUUAGUUCAUGCAUGGAUGUUUUUGUAGAAAUAAACCAAGUACAACUGUCCCUUGCUAAUACUCCAUGAAGCGGAAUCCUAAACAAAGAAAGAGAGAGAUUAUAAAACCAACUUCUCCUACAUGCAUUACUUUGGGUGCUAUAUACUGUGUGGGGUGCCAGAGAUACCACCUCAUUUGAUUGUCAUAGCUCCCUGAAGGAUCAGCUACAGCUCAAGGAUCAAGUAGCUGCUAAGAAUGCAAAGGACUAGAUUUGAACCCAAAUUCAUAUGAUUUCAAAUAUCACUUACAGGUCCAAAUGACCAGGCAGUCCUGACUUAAUUCAGUGCAACAUCUGUUCUUUCUUUUAGCUAGCCCCACAGUGAUCAGGAUCAGAUCUUUGGGACAGUAUUCUGUGAAAUAAAUGCUUUGCUACUCAGUUAUAAGCAGCGUACCCUGGCAUUGAGAUAGAAACAAUAUUUAUGGAUCAUUCUAAUGUAUCGUUUUAACCAAAACCUGACUAGUAUCCAUGAGGAUGCAGGUUUGAUCCCUGGUCUCGCUCAGUGCAUUCAUGAUCUGGCAUUGCAAUAAGCUGUGGUGUAGAUUGCAGACGCAGCCCUAGUCCUGUGUUGCUGUGGCAUACAUAGGCCAGAAGCUGCAGCCCUGAUUUGACCCCUAACCUGGGAACUUCCAUGUGCUACAGGUGUGGCCUUGAGAGCAAUAAAUAAAUAAAUGAAUAAAUAAAAAGUCCUCUGGAUUUCCAACAUUGGUAAUAAUAAACACCCCUUUAAAAAGUGGGCAUUACCUGUGGGUAUUCUUUUGAAGUCAUUCUUCUUUAGAGGGAUUGCAUUAAAUGAAUUGACUUUGACUUGGCCACGAAGAGAGGAAAACUUGCUUCAAUAAUUCAGAAUAUUUCAGGAGCUUAAUUCCUCAAGAAAAUAUUUUAUUUGCCUCAUUUUUCCUUUGAGGUCCCUUUCAAGCUGCAUACUUUAUUUUAGCUCUCAAUUCAUUUCAUUUUGUGUAGAAAGAAUAGUAAUAAUAAAAAAAGGACACUGCAGAAAUUGAGAUAAUACAGCUGUUUCUACUACCAUGUCUUUAUGUCUCUUUAAAAGCAACAAAAGGCUCAUAAACAUUAGAAUUAACUGAGAGUGAAAUCCCAUCUCUUAGCCAUAUAUCACAUUUCUUAUAUCAUAGCACUUACUUAAAAGUCAUGUUACUGUUUUCUUUAACUCAGAAGCUCUGACUCAAGAAUAAUAUGCCCCUAACAUGACUGAUGUGUCUCUUAUAACUACAUAGGGUAAAAGCUUAAACUAUUGUGUGUGCCUGGAGUUGCUGCUCUAUCAUCUUAGUUAAUUUUCUUCAUGUCCCAUGUUUUGUUGUCUCUCAUAAGUGACUGUAUUUAAGAAAAAGAGAAAAUUGGGUGUGGUUAUUUAUGCAGGUCCUAUGGUUAAUACACUCCUAAAGUAGGUACCUGCUAUCUUUAUUACUGCAAACACCAGAUUCUAUGGUUCAUGUUUGGAAAGAAAAGAAUAAACAAUUUUAGCAUACAAAAUUGAGAUGAAUUGCAACUCUAUGGUUUGAGCAAUUUGAAUUCUUAAGAUACAUGUCCUAGUUAUAUAUUGAGAGGUUUAUUAAUUAAACCCAGCUUGAUCUCUGGACCUCAUGUGCUAAGAACUUUAAUUUGAAGGCUUGCCUACUUUGCUUUUGAUGCCACUUAGGGUCCAAAAUUAUUGUACUGAAAUAGUUCUCAAACCCUGAUUCAACUUUAAUGAGGAGAAAUCACAUUAUUAGAUCAUCCAAACACUUCUAUUUACCAGUCACAUCUUGUCACAGCUUUAGUAGCAGCUAUCCACAGAUAUAAGUUUUCACAAAUGAAAAAUCAGGAUAGGAAAGGCAGGUGUCACCUAGAAAAUCUUGAACUCUUUCCAAGAGGCAUUUUGUUGAAUUGCUAAACUGAUAAACUUAGGUUCUCUCACAAGGCUCCAGGGAGGAGCUCAUCAAGCACGUGGUAGCUCCCCGCCCCCAACAGCCAUCAUUAAGUAGAAACCCCUAAGUUUAGAAAAAUAUAAAAUGUUCCUAUCAGUCACGAUUCUUAAGAAAGCCCAUUCGAAUUGUGAUUAAGUUAAAUAGGAAGCCCCUGAAAUUCAAGUCUGCAUAUUUUUUUCUUAGAGCAAAUGUUUUUAAUUUAAUCAAAGAAGAAAAUGAAAAAGACAUGUCUUUCAUAUUUACCAAUGCCUUCAUUUGUUUUCAGAUGCCUCCUCCUCCUACCUCUUAAAUUCAGAUAUUUCUUGAGGAUCCUCAUUGUAGGUGCCUCUUUGAAAGGCUUUCACUUCCUACUCAACUAGCAUCUCUGCAUACAGCACUCCAGGUCAUAAUCUUUUCUCUUUUUGGGAUCCACAUUCUGAAUAUUUAUUGGCUAUGGAUCCAAUUCUGCCACUAAUUUUACUUUUUAAAUUACUCAUGAAGCAGCUCCUGUUAUAAGCACUUUACGUGCAUUUGCUCAUUUAAGUCUUACCACAAAUAGUAAAGAGUACAUUAUGGUUCUUGAUGUACAGAAAGGGAAACAGAAACUUAAAGAAAGGUUAAGAGGAAGCUGCUCCAAACUGACCCAGCUAGUGAGAGACAGAGCUGGGACUUCAGCCUAGGUGGUUCUUCCUCGAAAGCCUGUGAGCUUGACCACUAGGCUGUUGGAAAUCACUUUUCUCACUCUGGUUUGAAACCUGAGCAGAAACAAAUCCCACCAGUAUCCGUGAGGAGGAUGUGGGUUUGAUCCCUGGCCUCACUUGGUGGGUUAAGGAACCAGUAUUGUCGUGAGCUAUGGUGUAGGUUGCAGACAUAGUUUGGAUCUGGCAUUGCUGUGGCUGUGGUGUAGGCCAGCAGCUGCAGUUCCAAUUAAACCCCUAGCCUAGGAACCUCCAUAUGCCACCGGUGUGGCUC
Molecule: long non-coding RNA, 6812 nt
Filed under: Sus scrofa (pig)
Lineage: Eukaryota; Metazoa; Chordata; Mammalia; Artiodactyla; Suidae
Description: lncRNA (ENSSSCG00000043083.2)
Source: RNAcentral